This 490-nucleotide ribosomal RNA is filed under the name uncultured bacterium. RNAcentral describes it as "partial 16S ribosomal RNA". It matches the Rfam family "Bacterial small subunit ribosomal RNA", at positions 30 to 507 of the family's 1533-position model. The record is from RNAcentral.
AUUGAACGCUGGCGGCAGGCCUAACACAUGCAAGUCGAACGGUAACAGGAAGCAGCUUGCUGCUUUGCUGACGAGUGGCGGACGGGUGAGUAAUGUCUGGGAAACUGCCUGAUGGAGGGGGAUAACUACUGGAAACGGUAGCUAAUACCGCAUAACGUCGCAAGCCCAAAGAGGGGGACCUUAGGGCCUCUUGCCAUCGGAUGUGCCCAGAUGGGAUUAGCUAGUAGGUGGGGUAACGGCUCACCUAGGCGACGAUCCCUAGCUGGUCUGAGAGGAUGACCAGCCACACUGGAACUGAGACACGGUCCGGACUCCUACGGGAGGCAGCAGUGGGGAAUAUUGCACAAUGGGCGCAAGCCUGAUGCAGCCAUGCCGCGUGUAUGAAGAAGGCCUUCGGGUUGUAAAGUACUUUCAGCGGGGAGGAAGGGAGUAAAGUUAAUACCUUUGCUCAUUGACGUUACCCGCAGAAGAAGCACCGGCUAACUCCGUG